Molecule: long non-coding RNA, 2098 nt
Filed under: Homo sapiens (human)
Lineage: Eukaryota; Metazoa; Chordata; Mammalia; Primates; Hominidae
Description: HSALNT0216601
Source: RNAcentral
ACUCAGUCACUGCCAGAUCCUGAGCAGAUCCGUCCUGGCCCUGGGGAGUGGACCAUCAGGGGGCAGGGCUGGCCAGUGAGCAGAGAGCUGGCGGUGACAUGGGCUCAGCACAGAGCACCACGUGGGGCCUGGGAGGAGCCAUGAGAGCCGGCAGCCCUGCCUGUCCUCCAGAUGAAAGCGAGGCCCGCAGCCUGAGAGGGAGGGAGGAGACGCUAAUUACGCCCAGCGCGGGGCUCCCCAGGCAGCCUCAGCCACAGGAUCAAACACCGCCUUCCUCAGCCACGCGCCCGCCCUGCCCUGCAGGAGCAGUCACGGAGCUGCGACACCACCAGAGCUGGGACACCACCAGAGCUGCGAGACCACCAGAGCUGUGACACCACCAGAGCCGGGACACCACCAGAGCCGGGACACCACCAGAGCCGGGACACCACCAGAGCUCCGAGACCACCAGAGCUGCCACACCACCAGAGCUGUGACACCACCAGAGCCGUGACACCACCAGAGCCGGGACACCACCAGAGCCGGGACACCACCAGAGCCGCGAGACCACCAGAGCCGUGACACCACCAGAGCCGGGACACCACCAGAGCUGGGACACCACCAGAGCUGCGAGACCACCAGAGCUGGGACACCACCAGAGCUGCCACACCACCAGAGCUGCGACAGCACCAGAGCCGGGACACCAGCAGAGCCGGGACACCACCAGAGCCGCAACACCACCAGAGCUGCGACACCAGCAGAGCCGCGACACCAGCAGAGCCGGGACACCACCAGAGCCGUGACACCAGCAGAGCCGGGACACCACCAGAGCUGCGAGACCACCAGGGCCGGGACACCACCAGGGCCGGGACACCACCAGAGCUGCGAGACCACCAGGGCCGGGACACCACCAGAGCCGGGACACCACCAGAGCUGCGAGACCACCAGGGCCGUGACACCACCAGAGCCGGGACACCACCAGAGCUGGGACACCACCAGAGCUGCGAGACCACCAGAGCUGGGACACCACCAGAGCUGCCACACCACCAGAGCUGCGACACCAGCAGAGCCGCGACACCAGCAGAGCCGGGACACCAGCAGAGCCGGGACACCACCAGAGCCGUGACACCAGCAGAGCCGGGACACCACCAGGGCCGGGACACCAGCAGAGCCGGGACACCACCAGAGCCGUGACACCAGCAGAGCCGGGACACCACCAGGGCCGGGACACCACCAGAGCUGCGAGACCACCAGGGCCGGGACACCACCAGAGCCGGGACACCACCAGAGCUGGGACACCACCAGAGCUGCGAGACCACCAGAGCCGUGACACCACCAGAGCCGUGACACCAGCAGAGCUGGGACACCACCAGAGCUGUGAGACCACCAGAGCCGGGACACCACCAGAGCCGGGACACCACCAGAGCUGCGAGACCACCAGAGCCGUGACACCAGCAGAGCCGGGACACCACCAGAGCCGGGACACCACCAGAGCCGGGACACCACCAGAGCUCCGAGACCACCAGAGCUGCCACACCACCAGAGCUGUGACACCACCAGAGCUGUGACACCACCAGAGCCGGGACACCACCAGAGCCGGGACACCACCAGAGCUGCGAGACCACCAGAGCUGGGACACCACCAGAGCUGGGACACCACCAGAGCCGGGACACCACCAGAGCUCCGAGACCACCAGAGCUGCCACACCACCAGAGCUGUGACACCACCAGAGCCGGGACACCACCAGAGCCGGGACACCACCAGAGCCGGGACACCACCAGAGCUGUGACACUGUGGCUUCAGUAAAGCUGUUUCUUCUACCACUGGCUUGCCCUUGCAUUCUUUCCUGGGUGAAGCCAAAAACCCAGAGGGCUAAACUCCACUUUCGGGCUCGCCUGCCUGCAUCAUAACCAUCAGGCCUGGAGAGCCGGGUCUCUUGAGAGUAAACUGCCGUGAGAUUCUACAGGAACUCUGCCUCUCCUCUGGGCUGAGCUGUUCUGCCUCAGUUUCCUCACUAACAAAAUGGGGUGACAUCUUGAGGUGGCCCCUCUCGGUGCUGCCAGCCUCUCUGCUCCCCACUCUUUUUGGGCAGCCCUCAAGGCCCUCGUACAGCAUCUGG